CAAUACAAAGGGCAGCGAAACCGUGAGGUCAAGCAAAUCCCAUAAAGUUGUUCUCAGUUCGGAUUGUAGUCUGCAACUCGACUACAUGAAGCUGGAAUCGCUAGUAAUCGUAGAUCAGCAUGCUACGGUGAAUACGUUCCCGGGUCUUGUACACACCGCCCGUCACACCACGAGAGUUUGUAACACCCGAAGCCGGUGGAGUAACCUUUUAGGAGCUAGCCGUCGAAGGUGGGACAAAUGAUUGGGGUGAAGUCGUAACAAGGUAGCCGUAUCGGAAGGUGCGGCUGGAUCACCUCCUUU
This 300-nucleotide ribosomal RNA is filed under the name Staphylococcus aureus. Its description in RNAcentral is "partial 16S ribosomal RNA". It matches the Rfam family "Bacterial small subunit ribosomal RNA", at positions 1235 to 1533 of the family's 1533-position model. Lineage: Bacteria; Bacillati; Bacillota; Bacilli; Caryophanales; Staphylococcaceae. The record is from RNAcentral.